Long non-coding RNA from Pelobates fuscus (common spadefoot toad), 94 nucleotides. RefSeq lists it as uncharacterized. The record is from RefSeq and is a predicted model, not a curated record. Lineage: Eukaryota; Metazoa; Chordata; Amphibia; Anura; Pelobatidae. The transcript has 2 exons.
CUGUGUGUGUGUUUGUGUAGUGGAUGAUGUGUGUGUUUGUGUGUUGGAUGCUGCGUGUGUGUAUUUUUUAGCUGUUGAAUUUUUAUAAUUUUUU